This 1460-nucleotide long non-coding RNA is filed under the name Oncorhynchus kisutch (coho salmon). RNAcentral describes it as "lncRNA (ENSOKIG00005037654.1)". The record is from RNAcentral. Lineage: Eukaryota; Metazoa; Chordata; Actinopteri; Salmoniformes; Salmonidae.
UGUUUAUAUUGAGCUGCACAACCACAGUUGUAAUUUUUUUUUAGGCAACUGCUCUUUUGCGAUAUCAAAAUUAUCACUUUGAAGUAGAGCAUUGUGUGAGUAUUUAAUCUGUGAAGAAUCAGGAAUCACAUCUUAAAUAUAUAUUUUUUAAAUGUGACUAAGAAUGAGAGGAGGCUGUAUUCUCAGGAUACUUACUGUAGCUGUCACAUGCUUACAGGCCUCCACCAACACCAACCCAUAAACACGUUGCAAGCUUUAUGCUUGCAUGUUAGUGCAAGAAGUGGCAAUAGCAUGCAUGCUGCUUGUUGUUUCGAUAGCACAGUUUCCACUUCCUGGUGACUGAUGUGGCAGAGUAGGAGUUUGAACUAUAGGCCUGCAGGUCAAAGAAGGAAAUGAUUGUCACUUUGCUGGCUUUCUUUCUCCAUGGCUAUGCAUUUGCCUUUGGGGAGCACAACGCUGUUAUCGGAACCCAAUUCUUCCUCACACUGAACAAGACAAACAUGGUAAACUUCUUCUUCAACUAUGUUCGCUGUGCUGUAGCCACUACUCUGGCACUAGGGGCUGCCAACGAGAGGACAGAACCAAUCGGCUACCUCAUAUCCGCAUACGUUUUCUCAGGAUUAAUCUACCCUCUGGCUUGUCACUGGGUCUGGGACCAGCAAGGCAUCUUCAGUCCAACCUCCACCUCCUACCCAUCACAGGACUAUGCAGGCAGCGGUGUGAUCUUCUUGCUUGGUGGUGCAGCGGCAGCUGUCUCACUGCGGGUUAUAGGAUCACGGGCUGGACGCUGGAGUCCCCAUUUCAAACAGACAGAGCACAGCCAGCCUAUGGUGGUGCUGGGAGGAUGCCUUCAAAUGCUGGGCUUCUUGGGCCUGGUGAUAGGCACUCACCCCCGUGUGUUGGAUGCUGAUGAGGGCCUGUUACUGGGGCUAGGCACUGUAAACUUGUUGCAUGCUGCUACAAGCGGAGGACUCUACGGACUAAUGAUCCAACGCAUCGAUAAGAACUACUAUGAUCUCGACAGCAUGCUCUCUGGGGCCAUUGCUGGCAUGGUGGCAGUGUGUGCAGGAGUAGACACCUACAUGCCUGGUGUGGCAGUCAUGUGUGGGGCCACUGGAUCUCUCCUCUUUAUUGGCUUUCGCCGCUUCCUCUGUGCUGUGAGGGUGGAUGACCCCCUUAACAUCAUCUCUGGGUACUUAAUUCCAGGGGCCUGGGGCUUGAUGCUUGCAGGUUUAUUCUCUGAUCAUGGGGCUCUUGGAGGACAUAUCCAGGUGUUGGGGAACAAUUGCAUUGUGGCACUGGUGUUAUUCUUCUGGGCAGUGGCUAUUAUGUACCCUCUUCUCUCCAUACUCAUGUGUUUUGGAGUGCUGCGAGUCCCCCGCUUUAUGGAGAAACAAGGAAUAGACAAAAUCAGACACACGCUAAGACACCCUCACGGCACCAGGAAGUCACUGAACUAA